GCGUGCAAGGAUUCUGGCGGUCAGCCGCCUGCGUUGUUCUCUCUCGCCAAGGACUUGGGCGCCAUGCUCGCCGUCUACGAGGGCUUCUGCGACCUUCAGCAGGCCCCUUUCCCGCACCUCAAAAUCCAGUCUUUAUGCUCAAAGCUGGACCUUCAUCGAUCUCGUCGAUUUCCCCGGUUGAUCGACCGAAAGCUGAACUUUUUGCAAGCGUUCCACCGUCCGUACGGUUCUGACGCGAGAGAGGAGAGCUUUCGCAGUGUCAUAACUCGUUCUUGGGGUCGCUGAGAACAGCUACGCCGUAGAAUGUUUCACUGGUUUCUCUAAGUUCUGUGCUGGAGACUGCUUUUGCCAAAGAUUCACUAUUUUGAGGUACUUCGGCCUCUCUCAGAUCUUUCUUUGUUGGUCUCUGUAGCUAACUAUUCUGCCAAGAAAUGAGUUGAAUGGUCGUAGCACCUGAACUGAUGAGAACAACUCACCCACCGUCGUUAACAGCUCGCUAAGAAGCAACUGUUCGAUAGCUGCGCCUGAAUCGGAUUCUGCUCUCUUGAAUACGUUGAAGGACGAAGAGUCAUCGGCCUUGGUGCCAUUGGAGAGAUCUGUGAAGCUCCACAGAAUAGCUCUGUGCCUAUUAUGGUCAAGGAUAUGCCGGAAUCUCAACCUGGUUGGUCUUCUCUUAGAAGCCCGGUCCUAACAAGCAGGAAGACUGUUUCCAUGGAGAAGCACGAGAUCUCUUUAGUCCAAUGGGUUACAAUUCUAGGAAGUUGGAUCGAAGUAUUACACAAAAACGAUAUGGAGAGAGCAGCAGGGCCAUUGUUCCGGUUGGAUCUGAUUCACCACCACAGGGGGCUGUCUUUUGAGUUGAAGUCUCUCCAUUAGAAGCAUUUAUCUGUUUGCAGAUUUUUCAGCUGCAUGGAACUCACAUGAUCAACAUCCAACUUCUCACGCAGUUAUUUCUGAAAUUUUGUCAUGCUAAUCGUGUUUAAUUCAUGAACAUUUCUUAUGUUAAUCAAGUUCUCAAUGCUGGUUUCUGAUUGGGAAGGGAAGAAUUAGCAGUGUUUCUAAUGCCAGUCUUUCAGAUGGCAAGGAAUUGGCUUUAAAAAUCUUGAAGCCCUCUGAAGAUGCAACAAAAGAGUUCUGUUUCAGAGAUUGAGAUUGCCACUACCCUUGCAUCACAAAAACAUUAUUUCGCUGCUCAGGUUUUGUUUUGAGAAUAACUGUUUAAUAUUGGUCUAUGGCUAUGUAUCAAGGGAUAGCUUAGAACAAAUCCUCCAUGGUAUGCAUUUUGCAAACAUGAGUUGCUAAUUUUUCUAUUCAUUUGAUUCACUUUGUCUAAGUCAUGUCUCGUCUCCUAAUAUUUAUUUGUUAGGUGACAAAUAGAACAAGCAUUUUCUCAGUUGGCCUGAAAGAUUCAAGGUGGCAAUAGCAUUGAUCCUGUGAUCCAUAGUGAUGUAAAGUCCUCAAACAUGCUUCUCUCUGAGGAUUUCAGCCUGCAGUUCCUGUUUCUUCUAUGAUGUGCUUCUUGCAUCGCAUCUCUUAUAAAUAUGUGUGUCAUGUUUUUCUUCUUCAAACUGUUUCAGUUGCCUGACUUUGAAUUGGCAAAAUGGUUAUCAGCGUCAACAUCACGACCAAUUUGCAGUGACAUUGCAGGGACUUUUGGAUCUGUCCUCUUUGUGCAGCAAUAGAUCGAUUUAUUUGCUAAAUGUUAGAUCAACAUCCUAAGUGACAACCUCACUUAGCUCCUGAAUACAUUUUAUAUGGCAAAGUUAAUGAAAAGGUCGAUGUAUAUGUUUUGGGUGUUGUUCUUCUCAAGCUCCAAGUAUUAUAUUUUGUUGGAAAUACUUCGCAUUUAGCUUUGUAAUAUCUAUUUGAGUAUACAUUUUGUUGGUAAAUCCUAUUGUAGAUAAUCCAACUCUGGUUCUCUUAUUUAUUUUCUCCAUGUAAUCGCAGGCAAAGCCAAUCUUACAAGAUGUAGCAGUUAAUAGUGAUCAAGUGGAAAGGAUGAUCAUAGCUUCUUCCUUGUGUGUAAGGUGGCUUCAUCGAAUUUGACCUCACAUAACACUUGUUUUAAAGACUACUCCAAGGAGAUGAUGCUGCUGUUAAAUGGGCAAGCUAUGUUUCAUGAUGAAGUAUCAAACCCAGAAUCUGACAUCCAAUCCCACCUUAGUCACACAUUAGGAUUACCCGAUCUCGAUCAGCAGCAGCGAUCACAAAGUUGCUUCUCUAACCGCGAGCAUUUCUAUUGAGAACUACUUGCAAUGUGGAAGGAGCCAUUCAUCAAGCAAUUUCUGUAUAGUGUUCAUUUUUUCUGAUUCCUUGGCAAACUAUACACUUUGUGUAUAGUUCUUGCUUGAGAAUUCACCUAUUUUUAGGAAUCAUUGAUAUUUUCUCAAUUGUUUGUGAACGAAGAUCGAGGAACUGAUAAGAGAGUUAAUUAUUUUUUGUGCUAAUUUAGUUUGGUGAUCAAAAUUUGUAUUC
This is a non-coding RNA of Musa acuminata subsp. malaccensis (wild Malaysian banana), 2475 nucleotides long. The record is from RefSeq and is a predicted model, not a curated record. Lineage: Eukaryota; Viridiplantae; Streptophyta; Magnoliopsida; Zingiberales; Musaceae.